This 127-nucleotide small RNA is filed under the name Marmota monax (woodchuck). The record is from RNAcentral. Lineage: Eukaryota; Metazoa; Chordata; Mammalia; Rodentia; Sciuridae.
GCCGGGCGCCGUGGCGCAUGCCCGUAAUCCCAAUGGUUUGGGAGGCUGAGGCAGGAGGAUCGUGAAUUCAAAGCCAGGCUCAGCAACUUAACAAGGCGCUAAGCAACUCAGUGAGACCCUGUCUCAC